This 15871-nucleotide long non-coding RNA is filed under the name Gallus gallus (chicken). Its description in RNAcentral is "lncRNA (ENSGALG00010006230.1)". The record is from RNAcentral. Lineage: Eukaryota; Metazoa; Chordata; Aves; Galliformes; Phasianidae.
CAAAAAGCUCAAGGACGUACAUACAGUAGCUCUAAACCUGCAGUGGUGUGGGGGAUGUUUCUUGACUGAUAUUGGAAGUGUAGAAUUAGCAUAAUCAGCAGUCAUUACUCCAGAGUCUCUGGACUCUUUGAUACUCUUGCUGUGAGCAGAAUGUGCUUCAACAUGCUGUGUUCCACUCAUUGAGAAAAUGAAAGAUUUGAAGAGACUGUGGAUUAAUGAUCUCCAGUUGGCCAGUUUCACUUGUGUAGGUAACAGCAGAUGGCAGAAGAGGGGCAGUCUGACAAAAUGGUGUCUGACAUGGAAGUGCGGAUGAAGCAAAGGUGUGUCACUGACUUCCUUCAUGUGGAAAAAAUGCCACCCACUGACAUUCAUCAGUGCUUGCUGAAUGCUUAUGGAGACCAAAAAGUGGAGAGCAUGUUCCCUAGCCUCACAGACCUCAGAUCUGUAGUUGAAGCACUGGAGCUGAAACCGUAUCAUUGGCACUGGGACAACUAGGCUGGACUUGGAUAAUUCCGGAAUCCUCACUGCAAGACCUGAUACAUCUUCUCAGAUGGGACAGUUAAGCAGUUUCACUAUUACUUGCUCUCCUUCUUCCCUAUUCCCCUGUGGUUGAUUCACACAAAAAUAAAUUAUCUUCAUCAGCUAUACUUUUCAUGCACAGCUCUUGGUCUAGGCUGCUGGUUUAAAAGAUCUGAAUUAAAAUCUAUUUACUUCCAGUGUCACGUUGAAAUACUGGUUUAUUUGCAGGAAAUGUUUCAUUUUGUUUUUCUUUUAGGAUUCUUUUUUCUUUCACUUCCUUUAUUUUAAGAUAUAUUUUACCACUUCCUAUUUCAGCCUUUGUAUAAGUACUUGUUGAUAAUCUAUUAUUUUUUCUAAUUAUAUUUUUAUAUCUCCUUUAUUCAGUGUACUGCUGAAGGAAAAGCAGAACAAUAAUGAAAGUAAAUGAGCUAUAUGGUUGAGAUGAAAAUUAAAUAGCCUUUCUGAAUUUGUCAGUUUUCUACAUAGUUUUUAUUUGAGAGUUUAUUAUAAAUGCAACCAUGCUGAAUUGAAGUUGUAAAGACUUGUUCUGCCUUUCCCUACUUCCUUUGUGCUUGCUUUUGUGGCUGUGGUGAAGCAUGAAGUAUUCAAUUUAAUAAUUACAUUUAAAAGAAAGUUAAUUAUACAAAGCUGCUCUGUGCCACAUCCACAUAAAUACAUUUAGUUGUCAAAUUUGCUGAAAUUUGAAUCUCCCUGGAAGAGCGUUAGUAUUACAAUUUCGCACACUUCAACAGCAGCUAUGUAAAUACUCAACUCUGAAAUCAAAUGCUAAUUUUUCCCAAGGAUUAGAUAAGUCAUGUAGCUAAUAUUUUUGUUGACUUUUAUCCCAAUAAGAUUUGCACUGUCCUACUUAUAAUGUGAAAAAAUAGAUUUCUGGUUAGGACACUUGGCAAUCACGGGGAUGUUGCAGUUCAGAUCCAGUUGUUGAUGUGUUCUCAUACAUUUUCAGUCACAUCAUGUUUUUAAAACAUGCUCAGUCAUAUUUUUAGGAUAUGUUGAUUUUUUUUUGUGUUUGGAGGUGAAGACAAUAUUUUACACAGUCAUAUAUACUGUAAGCUGCUAAAUAGCAUAUCCUUUUAAUGUGACAAAUAUCUAUACUGUUAGCUAACAUGGACAGUGCAAUCUCAUUGUGGGAGUUAAGUGAUGAGAUGAAAUAGCCCAUGAUCUUGGAAAUGUGGGUUACAGUUUCUUAGGUAUUACAGACUAUAUCACUAAUGAAGCAAUUUGUUCUGUGUCCACUCACAUUUCAUUUGCUGCCAUCAACAAUUAAGAGAUGUCGUAGUAAGGUCAUCGUAGAUUAACACCUUGUCUUUGCAAAGAUCUCAUUAAAAUAGAGAGGAAUUCUAAUUCCUAGCCAAGAUAAUGUUAAUUUGAUGAGAGAAUAAAUAUUGUGGAAGCAAUUUGUGCAAGAGAAAUGAAUGUUAAAAGUAUUAUUCUCUUUUCAAUAAAAGAAGUAAUUCUUACAUGGAAAGAUAGCCUAUUGAAAAAAAUAGUCAGACAUGUUACUGCAGGAAAUGGUUAGAUACCUUGGCCUGGUUAAGGAAGCAUGUCAUGUUGUCCGAGAUUUGCACAGAUGUGCAGAGCCAUAAAUAAAUUGAACAGAAAAUAAGAUUUCUCCCUUUGCUGGUUGCCAGUGUUACAGUUAAACUACAAAGAAAGUAAUUUCUCCAACCAUCAUACAUUUACUUCCCAGUCAUCCUCGAAUGCUUGUAACAGUGAAGGGCGUUGUAAUUGACAUUUCAUUCUAAUACACUGGCUGCCUUGCCUGAAUUUUGGCUGGUUGAUAAGGCUCUUGGAAAUCCAGAGUCUCAUCAUGUCCUGAACAAUUUCAAUCCAGCCCUAUGGCAAUCUAAGUGCUUAACCAGCAAAACAGGAAAGACAAUAUUUGGAGAUGCUACCUUUCAAAAUGCACACAGCAGAGUAACUGAAAUAAUCAAAUUGCUCCUGAAUAAUCCUUUUUCAAAUUUGAAAGCAGAAUGAAGAAAAGAUUUAAAAGAAUAUACAUGUCAAUUUAAGCAAAUAAAAUGUGCAGACAUGAAUUCAUCACAACUGUAUUGUCACUGACGUUGCAUUUCAGAUAAAUUUGAUGAUAAUAUCACAUUUUUUUAAAGGAGGAAAAAAAUCAAUAAUUUUGUCUACAGACUUUGCAUUAUAUUCCAGUUACUUGAAAGAAAAUGUCAUGUGCAUCAACUCAUUCUUCAGGAUGUACUUUCUGAAAAGAUGUGGAUAAUAUUACAUAGACUAAGGGGAACACAGCUACGUUUGAGCUGCUUUAAGGCAAUGGUCCAUGUGCAUGCCCUACCAUGUGGAACCCUGUUGAGAAUCAGUUUAUUCAGAAUCACAAAAUCACAGAAUUGCAGAAAUUGAAAGAGACCUCAAGAGAUCAUCGAGUCCAGCCUGCCCCUGCUAAAGCAGGUACCCUACAAGAGGUCACACAGGUUGCUGAUGAUGUUGAACAAGACCAGACCCAGCACUGACACCUGGGAAGCACCGGUAAUUAAAGGCCUCAAGCCAGAUUCUGUGCUGCUGAUGACAACCCUGUGAGCUCUGACAGUGAAACAGUUCUCAAUCCAGCUCACUGUCCACUCAUCUGUGCCACAUUCUCUACAUUUCAUAACCGGGAUGUUGUGGGAGACGGUGUCAAAUGCCCUACUGAAGUCACGGUACACAACAUCCACUGCUCUCCCUCCAUGUACCCAGACAGUGGUGACAUCAUAGAAGGAUAUCAGGUUGGUCAAGCAUGAUUUCUCCUUGGUGAAUACAUAUUGACAACUCUUGAUAACUUUCUUCUCUUCCAAUUGCUUGGAGAUGGCGUAAAGAGCAAGUUGUCCAUCAUCUUUCUAGGGAUGGAGGUGAGGCUGACUGGCCUGUAGUAUCCCAGAUCCUCCUUCUUGCCCUUUUUGAAGACUGGAGUGACAUUCUUUAUCUUCCAGUCUUCAGACACCUCUCCCAUUUGCCAAGACCUUUCAAAGAUUAGAUAGAUAGCAGUUUAGCAGUCAUCUCUUUUAGUUCUCUCAGCACAUUUGGGUACAUCCCAUCAGGUCCCAUGGAUUUAUGUACAUUGAUUUUUGCUAGAUUCACUCUGACCAGAUCCACCUUGAUCACUGGAAAGUCCACCUUUGCCCAGACUCUCUUACCUCCAGGGUCUGGAAUUCCAGAGGGCUAGUCUCAGCAUAAAAGACUGAAACAAAGAGGGCAUUCAGGAUCUCUGCCUUCUCAGCAUCCCCUGUUACCAAGGCACCCAUCUCAUUUAGUAGGGAACCCACAUUUUCCCUAGUCUUCCUUUUACUGUUGACAUAGUUAAAAAAAAUAUUUCUUCUUAUCCUUUUCCUCCUUUGAAGGGUUUAAUUCCAAGAGGGCCUUAGCCUUCCUACAAUUCCUGAAAACAUUCCUUACUCUUGCCACCUUUUCCCAGUUUCUUACUCUUACUGGCCCAGGAAUGGACCAGUCUUGAGCUUGGAAGAAAUUGUGUUUAAGCACCAACUAGCUCUCAUGGUUCCCCUUUCCUUCUAACACUCUAGCCCAUGGAAUAACUCCAAGUAGGUCUUUGCAGAAGUAGUUAUUUGUCUCUCGUGAAGUCCAGGGUAGCAAUUCUACUUAUUGCUUUGCUUCUCCCACACAAGAUCUUGAACUCCACCAUCUUGUGACUGCUGCAUCCCAAGCUUCUCCCACAUAUCACAUCCCUGACCAGCCCUUCCUUGUUAGUAGAAACAAGUUCAAGUAGCACACCCCUCCUAGUCGGCUCCUCCACUACUUGUGUCAGAAAGCUGUCAUCAAAGCAUUGCAGGAACUGCCUGGACCUUGUGUGACUGUCCAUGCUUCUUAACCAACAAAUAUCAGAAUGGUUGAAAUCCCUGAUAAUAACCAGUGCUGGGGAUUGCAAGGCUUCUUCCAGCUGUUUGUAGAAGGCCUCAUCCACUUCCUUCUCCUGAUCAGGUGACCUGUAGUACACAUCCACAACAAUGUCACCUAUGUUAGCACUCCCCUUAAUUCUUACCCACAAAUUCUACACUUGUUCCACCCAAGUGGAGCUCAAUACAUUCUAAUUGCUUUCUUGCAUGAACAGCAACUCCACCACUUCAUCUUGCCAGCUGGUCUUUCCUUAAGAGGACAUAGCCAUCCAUGACAGCAUUCCAGUCAUGUGAGCUGUCCCACCAUGUCUCCAUGGCUGCAAUGAAAUCAUGGCCCUGUGAUCACACACAGAUAUAUAGUUCUUCCUGUUUAUUUCCCAUGCUGUGUACAUUGGCAUAUGGGCACUUUAGGGAAGCAGAGGGUGCAGAUAUCUCUAGAGGAGUGCUGAGGGUUUAAGCUGAGCUAUUGGCAAAGGAAACUUGUUAACCUAAGUUAAAUAAUUAAAAAAGGAAGUAUCUGAGAGGUAGGCCUGAGAAGUACUGAUAAUUGCUGUCAUACCUUACAAGAAUAUUAAAAAUCAUUUGUCUGUUCCUCUUCCCACUUUAUACUACAUCAUUCACUCAAAUUUGCAUGAUGUUUUCAAUUGCUUCAUGUUGAAUAUCAGAUUAAGAAGUAUCACAUAUUCAGUAUAAUUUCUUAUCCCUUCCUGGGUGCAUCUUCAUGUUUACUGUCAUUCACACUGGAAAUUCCCAGUAAAUACAAAAAAUGUGAGAAUACCAUGAAUGUAAGUCACUGAAAGUGGUAUCUCCUGUUUACUUCCAUGGAAAACAAAACAGAUACAAAGAGCACAAUAACGCUAUUUGAUAGAGCAAAUUCUAAGCCACAAACUACUAUUUUUCAACAUGAUUACCUUUACUUUUGCCAGCAGCGAACAAGAGUUUCCAUGCCACGUUCAUAAAAUCUGCUCCAUUGGAGGCGACCUACUGCUGCUAUCACCAUUGCUGAAACACAUCACCCACCACCUCACUGCUCACAUACACUGUUUGGUCUCCAUAAGCAUUCAGCAAGUAUUGAUGAAUGUCAGUAGGUACAAUUAUUUUUGAAUGGAGGAAAUCAAUGACACACCUUUGCUUCAUAACACCCUACAGUAUUUUAUCAGACUGCCCCUCUAACGCCAUCCAGCACACAGCAACAAAAUAUAGAGUAUUGGUGGGAAGGUUCAGCCUCUACUGCUAUACAACCAACAUUCCAUGUCUGCCAUUGCAGGCCAAUGUAAUAAAAUAUGAUGCAUCACUUUUGGAGCAGCCAUCAUGCCAUGAGUAUUUUGGCUUUCAUAUAUUGUAACUGAUAUAAUAUGUUCAACUUUUCUUAAUAUAAUAGUUUAGAGUCUUAUUUUUAUUUACUAUUUUCUUUCUUGUUCCUAAGAAAGUCUUUGAAUGUUGCAACUCUCAUUAUCUAGUCUUGCUGGGAAAACCAUAAAAAAGUCAAAGCACCUAUAUAUGUAGAAAAUAUAAUAUGAAGCAAAUCAAGAAUGAAAGAUAAAGAAUUAACUCAGAAAACAAUGAGAUUUGUAUUUAAAAAAAUACAUAACUUUGACUUUUUAUUAUUAUUCACAUAUAUUCUGCCUACAAGUUCUAAACUCUUAGAAAUACUGCAGUUGAUAAUCACACAGAGCAUUCCAAAAGCACCAAUAAAUUCAGUGAAAUACUCAUGAUGGUGACCUUAUGUUAUUAGUGUUACCUCAAAAAAGUCUCAAUAUAUGUAGCUGACAGCUGUACAUGUGCAUUUUGCUUCGGUAUAUCAGAUUUUUGUGCAGAUGAAGAUUGUGUUAUGACUGUCUCUUUCAUAGGUGAUAACAGUUCUGUUUCUCUUUGAGAGGUGCAAAACACAAUUGCUCCUAUGUGAUCCACAGACCUUAUGGAUGUGGAGGGUGAAAUAUUACUUAGGACAACUGUGUAGAUGCAACAAACUAUCAGCAUUGCAUAAACCAUUCUCCAUAUUUUGUCAUUUGACAGUUUCUGAUUUAUGCUGUUUCUCCAUCCAUCUGAAGUAGGUGUUUUUGUGCUUGUGUCAUGACUCUGUGUGAGUCCAGUUUCCUUCAGACAUACUUCUGGUUCCUGGCGUUACUCUUUCACCACACAGACUGUACGGAGUGCAUUUCAAAAGCUACCCUACCAAAUAAAAUAAUGGCUAUUUCUAGAAAUGUUGGUAGACCAAACUCUUUCUGUAGGCAGUCUUAGGCCAGUUGUAAAUAUCUAUAUUUAAAAAUACAAGCAUAACUCUAGAUUCCAGAGCAGCAGAAGUAUCUCAUUGAAUCAACUCCGUCUGUUUUUAGGCAUACUUUCAUGAUUCACAAAAUGAAGUCUUAUCUAUUACUUUCUACAGACCUUGUUCUUCUUCUUGUUUUCCUUUAAAGAAGAAAAGAUGCAAAAGCGGUGGUACCUACAUGUAGAAUUCUGAAAAUAAUGGAAAUUAAGAUAAUAAAUCUCUCCUAACAAGAACAUAUAUGAUGUUUCUGCUUCUUAGAGAUAAGUCAGGUGUUUGGAAAGCUUCUUGCAAUCACUGAGUGUAGUGCUUUAGAAGUCUUGUCUGUUGAGUGAGAAAAAAGAACAAAUAGAAGGCAGGUCUUUCUUAUAUAAGGGUUUCUAACACUCAGUAUUCAUCAAAGCCUCUAUCCUGUCCAACCCUUUUACAAUGAUCUCACUUUCAUGAGAAGAAACAAGUGUUUGUUAAAGUAUUACGUCUCCUGCUAUAUAUCAAGGGUUUGUGACAAAGCCCGAACAAGUGACCAAGACACAUCUUUUAUACAUUUUCAGUCCUAAAGAAGAGACUGGACUGGGGCUUUCUUAGAGUCAUAUUCCUUGUAUCCACAAACAAGUAACGAUGUUGCAUAAAUUAGGGACUGCAUCUACCCUUUCUAAGAGAGGAAAGGAGAUGUUUUCUGUGUAAUAAAUCGGCUGCAAGACUAACUAAAUGCAUUUUGUAGUACUUUUUAUGGAGCAAGUGCAAUAUUUUUUACAGAUAAAGCAUAGCCAAGAGCAAAGGUUGAUGAUGGCUAUAUAAUUAAAGGCAUUCAAACUGUGCAAGUUGUCUGCCAACAAACGCUUUGCAAUGAAAAAGGCUCCAUAUUCAGCAACUGCUUUAAAAAUACUGUUCAAGCAUGGAUUUCCUUAAACUACCACUUGUCUGGCAAUGGCUUCCUCACCUGUGUAAUAAGAUUAAGAGAUCUACUUGAAAGCCAGAAAAGCUUUGCAAGUCAAGUGGAUAUUUGCAUAUUUUACAUUGCCAAAUACCUAAAGGAGAGAAACGUUUUCUGAAAGAUGAGGAAAACGUACAGAACACUAGAACUAGCACAAGGUUUUUAGACUCAAAGCAGCCCAAGUUCCUGAUUUUUGCCAGCUCUGCCAGCAUUGUUAAGUUAGUAAAAAAUAAAAAUAAAAAUCUGUUUGCAAUGACUACAUGAACUUUACAAACUAGUAAAUAGUUAAUAUUUAAUCUUAAAUGUACUUCGGGUUUUAAAUCAAGAGAAACUAUUUCAGUGUCUCAGGUGUCAGAUGGGGUAGCUAAUGAAGUGCUUUCUUGAGUGAUUUCUGUCACAAGCCUGCAUUCUGCAAAAUAGACCUUGGAAGAUUACAGAUACAUCAGAGGUAUCUGUAGAUACCUUUCAAGAAUAAAAAUAACAAAAUAACCUUACUGUAGUGUUUUGUGACAUUUAUUUUCUUUGAAUAGCAAAAUACACUCUAUAUCAGUUUCAAAAAUAAAAUAAAUUUUAAAAAGUGUCAAUUUUCUUAAUGUGAUUUGCUUUAUUUUGCUAGCAUGAGAUUACUGAAAUCAGUUGGAAUACCUGAAUACAUUAAAAAUAGGGGAAAUGCAAUGUGUUAUGGGCAAAAAGUUCUAUAUUGAAUAGAAAAUUAUGGUAAGUCACAAAUAUUUCUGCUUAGUCUUAUACUAAGUACAGGCAAACAGUAAGCUUUCUCUUUUAAGUCCUGCCAGUUCAGGCCAGUAGUGACCCACAGUAUACUUUUCCUGUCCAGAAUUUCUCUUGAGAAAAGCUUGCCAAUCACACAAAAUUACUUGGUGCUUUGGGGAUCUGGACAUAUACAGAUAAGGGAAUCAACUACCAAACUUAUUUGAUGUGUAUCAUAAAUCAGAAGUGAACGUUAGUCUCCCAAGGGAACAAAAAAAAAUGGCCUACUGUAUUAAAAUACUUUGAUACCUUUGAUGUUCAAUGUUUAGAGCAUGAACUAUUUUCUAAACAUCUUUGAACUGAAGCUGAAAGAUACACUACUGAAAUCUACUCUUGCCUUCCUGCCUGCUUUUUUUUUUUUUUUUUUUUAACCAGCAAGGAGCAUCAAUUCCAUCUUAGACACAGAUAUGUGAUCAUUUGGCAAUGCUCUAAAAUUCUAAUUUAAAAUUGUUAUUUUCUUCUGUGCACAGGAAGACAUUUUUUGGUGGUUUUCUUUCAGGGGAGUGAAUGGUUUUUAGUUUUUCACCAAUUGAUAUCAUGAGAGAGAAUGAAAGACUGUGUAUACAUAAGCCACUGAAUAAUCAGUGAACCCAUUUAAGAGAGAUACCUACUGAGGUCAAUGAAAUUGGCAAUCUAAUGAACAAUCUAAUAGUAUUGUUACAAGUUUUAUGGUUUCUGUUUGUAAUUAACUUUAUGUGACAUUUAUUAUAAAAAGAUCAAAAAUUAUUAGUAGCAAUUACAUUUAAUGCAGCCAUGCAAUUGCACUUAUAUACUUAUUCAACUUUUAUUUUCAUUGACUCCCUGCUUCCUAAGUUAAUGCCUCUCUAUGUAUCAAACAACUUCAAUGUUUAUGAACUUUGGCCAAUAUGAGUAGAAAGUCUUUGUUUUCAUAAUGAUUUAUUUGAAUUCAGUUCUGUGGAUUUUAUCUGGAUACAUUUCUUGCUAUAUGAGAGAAAUCUCUUGAACAAAAGGAAGAAAAAGUAAUCCUUUAUAUUGUACUCAGUUCAUAGUUUCUUUGAAGUGAUGCUGAUAAAGGCAGUUUUGUGUUUUUCAGAAUGGAUUACUAACACAGUAAUAAUCAAAGAGCUGAUUUGUGUCAGUUGUACCACAUAGGGAAGACCCUCUAACUAGAUAUUUUAGAUGUUGAUAGCAUUUAUGAUUGAGUUUUGUAUAUACUUUGUUACAGAUGUGCAUAACUGUCAAAACCCAGGUUUUGUGAAAUGCUAAAAUGAACACACAGACACUGAAAAUAUGAAAAAGUUACAAUUAUGUUAUUCACCACUGAGUUUACAAAAACAGCACAGGUGUCAUUGCCACAGCAAGUCCAUAGAGUUAGUCUGUAUGUUCCACUGCCUCGUCCUGUAGCCCUGAAGUCACAGGUGCCACUGUCAGGCUGAAACCUCCUUUCAGAUGCUCUCUGUCUGGAAGCUUCAAAUCUACUGGAGAAUUCAAAUAGAUGCGAAAAGUCUUUGCAUUUUCUCUACUCAUAUUCACACUGUUCCUUGCCAGUGCUGUCAUAGCCAUGGACUCUACAGGAACAUAAGCAAAAGUCAUUCCAUAUCAGGGAAAAGCAUGUGAUACAGUCACAACAGCCCCUUGUAAUACAAUAAGCAUAGGGCAAAGUGGCUGGAAAGCUCCAUACUGGAGAAGGAUUUGGGGGGUUAGUUGACAGCCAGCUACACAUGAGCCAGCAGUAAGCCCAGAUGUCCAAGAAGGCAUCCUGGGUUAUAUCAGAAAUAUUGUCUGCCCAGGGAAGUGGUGGAUUCACCAUCCCUGGAUGUUUUCAAGGAAAGGGUAGAUAUGACACUUAGGGACAUGGUUUGUGGGCAUGGUGGUGAUGAAUCAGUGGUUGAAUUAGAUAAUGUUAGUGGUCUUUUUCCACCUUAAUGAUUCUCUGAUCCUAUGAUCAUUAAAUAGGGAAGAUAUCUGAAUAAUAGUUCCAAGGAGGCGUAUAGCAGUUUCAGGGAGAAAACUUAUUGACAGACUGGAACAUUUUGAAAUUUCCAAAUUAAAAUUUCUGAACAAUUAUUUUAUCUGUGCAAAAAUCAUAUUUGGAUAUUUUACAACAAUCUGUGGGGAGGGCUACUGUUACUUUUGAUAAUAAUUCAUUGGUGCUUUUAUUGUUUCUUGGCUGACUUUCAACAUGUAGCUCCUACAAUGCAAGGGAAGGUAGACACGGUUUCUGUUACUACACUGAUGGAAUAUUGAAACCUGAAUUGAAGUGCAUUAGCUGAAGUCAGACAAGGUUGUGGUAGCGAUCACUAGGGAAAUUAGAAAACCUUGAAAAACUUUGAAGACAUUUUUUGCUAGGGCACCUAUGUAUUAAAAAACUGUGUCUCUCAGUUAUGAUAAAAUUGUAUUACAUAACCUGAGUGAUCUCAGGAGUUAGUAAGUGACUGAUUUUCUGUUCCCUUGGUAAGCAAUAAUUCAUGCAAACAGAUUGACUGAAGUUUUACCGUGCUAGUGUAAAGAGAAAACAGUGAAAUAUUGUUUGAGAUGUUUUUACAAGUGAAAAUGACAGCAUAUGAAGAAAUAUGUUAUAAAACAGGACAGUAUUAAAAAAGUAAAGAAAGCUAAGCUCAGUCUUUUGAAGAAAAAUAUUAAAGAAGUUGGUAGGAAAAAAAAGAACUCGUUUCAUGUACAUAGAGAGAAAACAGGCAUUAAUAACCUGCAUGUGCACAGAUCAGCAAAUUUAUGAAGAUAUGUAUGAACAGAGAACACGACUUCAAAGCCAUUUGUAAUUACAGAAUGGUUUAUAUUUAAUCCUAAAUGUAUGGAAGGGGAUAAUGAGCUGGGAAAAAAUGAAGGCAUAUCGAACUAUUCUAGCAAAAACAAGGGAAUUUUUGCCAUUUUGUGUACUUUCUAUAGGCUAGAGGGACAAAUUUGUGUAUAGUAGAGUUCCUAUGAAAUUCAGGGUUCUGAUUUGACACAUGAAGUGAAAACAUCUUGGAUGCUUUAAUUUUACUGUGAAAAACCAGCAUAUGAUAUCAUGCACAUUAUAUAUGCAUAUAAAUGAUAUUAUUUUAUGGGUUUUAUGAUCUUUGUUACUGGUAUUCCACAUCAUAAUAUCAUGUAAAGCAUUGGGAGUUAAAAGUUGAGAACAAUUAAUUCUGUUAUUUUUUAUGUAGCAGCUAAUCACAAGGCAAAAUGCUUCCUUUGAUAGGAUCUGAGAAACUGAAAAGCUUGUCUCAGAGAAGUAUUCAUCUCAGCUAAUUUUAAACACUUAUAACAUGGAAGUCUGCAUCUGAGCUAAUGGCCUUAGGCACAUAUGACCUUUCCCUGGUCCACCAUAGAUGAGAUGAGAAGAAAUCUGAAUCUAAAUCCAAAAGAGCAUUUGAAUGUGGAAGUAAAAGCCUGCAUUGUGAAGCCUGAGAGAGAAAUUUGCCCAUGCUUAAUGGUAUUAAUAAAGUUCUGGGGAAGUAGAAUUGAAAAAUUCAGAAGCUUUUUUUUUUCUUUUUUCUUUUUAAUAUCUUGAUGUCUAAGAAUAAAUAAUAAUCCUUUUUCUUUGUAUUCACUUAAAACCGUAAGUUUGCCAAGACAAUUAUUUUCUUGUUUUCCAUAGUUAAUAUUCUGCAAAGUCUUCAAUAAGGAGGUUUCACAGAUGAUUUAAGAACACUUUGAAAGUAUAAUGUACUUCUGUGAAAUGUGGAGGCUGCGAUGAAAUAUUUAAACAUCAAUGGAUUGAGAUGGAAAAUACCUAAUGGCUUUCCUUGCGGAAUCAUGCAUUGAAUAUUUUGGAUUCAUUUUAAAUCUUAGGGGAUCCACCUAACAGUUUAAUUGCUGAGAAAAAAAAUGCUGCAAUUGACAUCUAAACCAAAUUGCUUUAACCAAGUCCUGAAUUAAAAAUAUUUGUGUUUUUAUUACAGAAUAUGAAUUUCAAUAUAUCCGUAAUGGCAGAAUCCCCCAAAAAGCUAUUAACUGAGAUAACUGGCUGAGGAAAUCAACCCACUAAGCAAUUUUGUGAAAAUUAAAAUUCAUUUUCCACACAUUGUAGUGUACUGGUUCAGUAUAGCACCAGUUCAGUAUAGCACCUUUUUCUGUGAUAUUUCCCAUUUGUUAAAAUAGGAGUAGUAGUCAUCCUGUUUCUACCAGUUUAAGAGCCUUAAUAUCAGCAAAGCAAGAGUGCUGAGGAUUUGACAGACACGCUUAGGUCAUUAUUUCAUAGUGCAAAUAUUUUUUAAGUAUGUACAAGGUAAAACCAAAUGAAACAAAUCCAUUAAGCAUCAUUUUUUAUAGCUUUUCUUCCUAUUCCUUGGAAACCUCUGGGGACAGUGAUUCCACCACCUCCCUAGGCAGCCUGUUCCAAUACUUCAUCAGUCCAAGAACUUUUUCCUGAUAUCCAACCUGUUCAGCUAUCCCCCAGUUCAACUCAAAGCCGUUACCUCUUAUACUACUACUGUUACAUGUGAGAAGAGACCAGCCUCCAUCUUGCUACUUCUUCCUCUCAGACUAUUACAGAGCUGUAAGAUCUUUCCUGAGCCUCCCCCUCUCCAGACUAAACAAUCCCAGUUCCAUCAGCUGCUCCCCACAGGACUUUUGUUCCAGACCUUCCAGCAGCUUCUUUGCCCUUCUUAGGAUAUGGUCCAGGGCCUCAGUGUCUUUCUUGUAGUGAGGGGUUCAAAACUGAACGCUGUAUUUGAGGUAUGGCCUCACCAGUGCUGUGUACACGGCAAUGAUCGAUCUCAUGCCUAGUUCUGCUGACUACACUCUUUCUGAUACAAGCCAGAAUGCUAGUGUUCUUGGCUACCUGAGCACACUGUUGAGUCAUGUUCAGCUGAGCACUGGCCAAGAAUCCCAGGUCAUUUUCCACCAAGCAGGUUUCCAGCCACUCUACCCCAAGCCUGUAAUGUUGCACGUGGUUGUUGUGACCAAAGUGCAGGAUUCAGUACUUGGUCUUGUUGAAGCUCAUGCAAUUUGCCUCAGUCCAUCAAUCUAGACUGUCCAGAUACCAACGUAGAACUUUUCUACUCUCAGACAUGGUUUCAUCUGAAGAUUUACUGAUGGCCCACUUAAUCACCUUGUCCAGAUCAUCAAUGAAGAUAUUAAACAGGACCAGCACUAAUACUGACCCCUGGAGAACACCAUUUGUGACUGGUCACCAGCCAGAUUUAACUCCAUUCACCACCACACUCUGGGUCCAGCCCUCCAGCCGGUUCUCUACCCAGUGAAGACUGUACCUGUUCAAGCCAUGGACUGCCAUCUUUUCCAGGAGAAUGCUGUGGGACACAAUGUCAAAGGCUUUAUUCAUGUCUAGGUGGACUACAUCCAUAGCUUUUCCCUCAUCUACUAGGGAAUUUUUGUAGUCAUGAUCCAAAUUUUCAGAAGGUAUCUCUGUAUCCUGAUGAAGAGAUCUUUUAAAUGGCUCAUUGAAGGAGACUCAGAUUGCCUAGAAACUGAUGCGCAUUAUGGUUCCACACCCUUACUCAUAAUUUUUAUAAUUAAUAAAAAUUCAGAGAGAAACUCCUUCCAUUUUAAAUUUGCCCAUAGCACUCCUGUGCUAGAGUUUAGAAUUCUCGACUCUGAAGAUAAACGGAAAAUUAUUUUUUCUAAUUGUAUCCAGGAGCUUUUAUGUAGCAUAUUUUAAAAUGUCACAAAAUAAUGAAGUUUAGAUAAGCCAUUAAGGAAAAAACAUGUUUUUCAACUGAGUAAAGAUGCCAGCAAUUCAAACAAUAGUGCUGCAUUUGUCAGAUAAUUAGCCAAUGAUUGUCUUUUGAACUCUGAAAAUAAAUUUAGAAGGAGCAGAUAUGCUGUGCUGUAAAAUGUGAGAGCUUUCAGAGUUUUUUUUUUUUCUUCUUUUUAAGACUUUUGCUUAAAGAUUUUUUUUGAAGUGUUUUCUAACUAAGUACUUGAAUUAUGUACACAUGAAUAGCCUUUAAGGAAAUCAUACAGGUCUCUUCAACUAUAUGCUAUACAGAUUUUAAUUUUACAGAUUUUUAUUAUUUUAGUUCCACUAAAUGCUUUUAGUUAAGGUUGACCAAAAUUUUCCCCUUUGAGACCAGUUUUUAAAUUCCUUGUAAUUGCCAUAUUUAAACUGUUCAUGCUGUUGUGCCCCAUGCCAUAUGUCUACUCUGGGAUGAAUCGGUUUGGAAAAUUCCAUAAAAAUGGUUCAGUAGUUUUGCAGUAUUGACAAAAAUGCUUUUUUUUCCCCCCAUAACUAAUAUAUUAUGCUGAAGCAGUUAACUUGAAUACUGUUGUUAUUUCCUAAUGAACCUCUGUUUAUGUUGUAUUGAUGUCCUGUAGAAAUGAGUCCAAAUGAAACUUCUGAUAAAAUCUUAGUAACUUGUGGGAAUACAAGAAAAACUGUUCAGAGGAGCAGCUGUGGAGCAAGAUAAACAGCAGUAAGCAAAAGAGCAAAACAAACAAAAAUUGAUCUCUCCUCCCAGCUAUUCAUUUUACUAGGGAUCAAACUCUAUGGUCAAGUAAAAGUUUUUGAUGAACGUUACUUUAGAAUAAAUAUAUCUAAUUAAUUGAAUAGUACUUAAAACGUCAUUUCAACUCUACACAUUUAUUUUUUAGGUGCAAAUCUUUCCCAAGAAUAUUCACAGAACAGAGAAUCAGGCGUAAAACCUAUCUACAUUUACACACUACUUUUUGACAGCAACAUCUUAAAUGUACUAUACUAUUCUGACAUUUUUAAGAGAACUUUUAAGAGAAAAUACUUAUGAGUAUCUGCAGUUCAAAUUUAUGCUAUUCUUUCUUUAUGGUAACUCACAAUAUUGUACACUAACUAUCAAAAGAAAGAAAUUUGUGAUUCCCCUGCAAUAUUUGCCUUUGGAUAAAAGAGGAAAAAAAAUCUAAUGCCUUCACAGACUGUAAUAAGUCUAAAAUUCACAAACUAAACCUCUAGUUCUAAUAACAUGGAAAACAUGCUUAACUCUGGUCACUCAAAUACUUCAGGGUAAGUCCACCUUCAUCUGUUGAAUACUCUUGCAUCCUCAGCACAGUAGCCAGGAAAAUUGACUGUGUGACAUAUCCAAGGUUUUUUUUUGUUUUGUUUUUACCAUGGAAGCCACUCUGUGUUCAUGUGCCUGCUUAUCCUACUGCUUGUUGUUGGUUUAGCCUGGCAGGCAGCUCAGCACUACACAGCCGCUCAUUCUGUUUCUGCCACACUCUUCCUCGCAGUGGGAUGAAUGAAAGAAGUGGAAAAAAGGGUAAAACUCGUGGGUUGAUAUAAUUGCAGUUUAUAAAACAGGAAAGCAAGGGAAAAUAAUGAUAUUGGUCUUAGAAGCCGCUAUUUCCCCUCUCCCUACCCCCCUUCUGGACAACUCCCCCAGUUUUAUUGUUCCCUAUAAUGCCAGAUGGCAUGGGAUAUCUCUUUGGCUAGUUUGGGUCUGUUGUCCUGAUUCUGUCCCUCCCCCCAGCUUCUUGUGCACCCUCAGCUCCUCACUGGCAGAGCAAUACAAGAAGCAGAAAAAACCUCAGUGCUGUGCAAGCAUUGCUAUGCAACAGAUAAAUAAUCGGUGUGCUGUCAACAUUAUUGUCAUCUGUCUCGAUCCAAUUUAUCGAAGAGAGAGG